RNAcentral lists this ribosomal RNA (927 nucleotides) under uncultured bacterium. RNAcentral's name for it is "bacterial SSU rRNA". It matches the Rfam family "Bacterial small subunit ribosomal RNA", at positions 21 to 915 of the family's 1533-position model. The record is from RNAcentral.
GGCUCAGGACGAACGCUGGCGGCGUGCCUAAUACAUGCAAGUCGAACGAAGCUUUCUUUCACCGAAUGCUUGCAUUCACCGAAAGAAGCUUAGUGGCGAACGGGUGAGUAACACGUAGGCAACCUGCCCAAAAGAGGGGGAUAACACUUGGAAACAGGUGCUAAUACCGCAUAACCAUGAACACCGCAUGAUGUUCAUGUAAAAGACGGCUUUUGCUGUCACUUUUGGAUGGGCCUGCGGCGUAUUAACUUGUUGGUGGGGUAACGGCCUACCAAGGUGAUGAUACGUAGCCGAACUGAGAGGUUGAUCGGCCACAUUGGGACUGAGACACGGCCCAAACUCCUACGGGAGGCAGCAGUAGGGAAUCUUCCACAAUGGACGAAAGUCUGAUGGAGCAACGCCGCGUGAAUGAAGAAGGCCUUCGGGUCGUAAAAUUCUGUUGUCAGAGAAGAACGUGCGUGAGAGUAACUGUUCACGUAUUGACGGUAUCUGACCAGAAAGCCACGGCUAACUACGUGCCAGCAGCCGCGGUAAUACGUAGGUGGCAAGCGUUGUCCGGAUUUAUUGGGCGUAAAGGGAACGCAGGCGGUCUUUUAAGUCUGAUGUGAAAGCCUUCGGCUUAACCGAAGUAGUGCAUUGGAAACUGGAAGACUUGAGUGCAGAAGAGGAGAGUGGAACUCCAUGUGUAGCGGUGAAAUGCGUAGAUAUAUGGAAGAACACCAGUGGCGAAAGCGGCUCUCUGGUCUGUAACUGACGCUGAGGUUCGAAAGCGUGGGUAGCAAACAGGAUUAGAUACCCUGGUAGUCCACGCCGUAAACGAUGAGUGCUAAGUGUUGGAGGGUUUCCGCCCUUCAGUGCUGCAGCUAACGCAUUAAGCACUCCGCCUGGGGAGUACGGUCGCAAGACUGAAACUCAAAGGAAUUGACG